AUUAACUUCAGUUGAAGACGUUAACAGUGAAGAGGGUUCGGGUAUUAACGCAUUGAAGACUAACGUUGGCUUUAAGUGUUCAGCCUAGGGAGACAAGCGUGUGUUAUAAUCAACAAAUGGCAAAUAAUCUUGUGUUAUAUGAACAUUGCUUCCAACAUUCUUUACGAAUUAACCUGCAGUCAAGUUCUGGGCGAAUUUGGUGGUUGCUGAUGAAUUGAAGAUGCUGGGCACAGACAGACAGUGAGGAGGUUGCUUUAAGUGUUGUUGACAAAUAAAUACAAGGCGUUGGUGAAGCCAUCUCCUAUUGAAGGCUCUUUUAUCUCGGAAUAGUGACCGGUGGUCAAGGUGACCCUUCUAUAUACGAGAUGACCUCGAAGAGUGACCUGACCUUGCUAGGUGACCUAAGUGAGAAGAAAAUUCUCGAGGUUUUGAGACAAAGAUACAAAAACGACGUUAUAUACACUCGGUGUGGAGAUGUUCUUCUGUCUAUCAAUCCCUUCAAAGAGCUGCCCAUAUAUGAUAAAAAG
Long non-coding RNA from Haliotis rufescens (red abalone), 527 nucleotides. RefSeq lists it as uncharacterized. The record is from RefSeq and is a predicted model, not a curated record. Lineage: Eukaryota; Metazoa; Mollusca; Gastropoda; Lepetellida; Haliotidae. The transcript has 3 exons.